UUUGUUUUUCCUUAUUUUUAUUUACGUUAAAUUAGUUAGGUUAGUUUUUUAGUUUAUUAGGUUAGUUAGGCUAGUUAGUUAGGUUGUUAAAUUAGCUUAGUUUAGGUUCAGUUUUAGUUUAGGUUUAGUUAGGUUAGUUUCCUGUUUAGUAAAGGAGAAAAGGAGAAGAAGAAGAAGGAGAAAGGAGAAGAAGAAGCAGAAAGGAGAAGAAGAAGAAGGAGAAAGGAG
This 228-nucleotide long non-coding RNA is filed under the name Hordeum vulgare. Its description in RNAcentral is "long non-coding RNA (HVUL_LNC016043)". The record is from RNAcentral. Lineage: Eukaryota; Viridiplantae; Streptophyta; Magnoliopsida; Poales; Poaceae.